GAGUUUGAUCCUGGCUCAGGACGAACGCUGGCGGCGUGCCUAACACAUGCAAGUGGAGCGACGAACCAGGGCUUGCCCUGGGGCAAAGCCGCGAACGGGUGAGUAACACGUGGGUAACCUGCCCCGAUGACCGGGACAACCCGAGGAAACUCGGGCUAAUACCGGAUGUGCUCUUCACACAUCAGUGUGAUGAGUAAAGGAAGCUUCGGCCUCCGCUUCGGGAGGGGCCCGCGGCCCAUUAGCUAGUUGGUGAGGUAACGGCUCACCAAGGCAACGAUGGGUAGCUGGUCUGAGAGGACGAUCAGCCACACUGGGACUGAGACACGGCCCAGACUCCUACGGGAGGCAGCAGUGGGGAAUCUUGCGCAAUGCGCGAAAGCGUGACGCAGCAACGCCGCGUGGGGGAAGAAGGCCUUCGGGUUGUAAACCCCUUUCAGGAGGGACGAAGGUGCGGCGGCGAAUAGCCGUCCGUACUGACGGUACCUCCAGAAGAAGCCCCGGCUAACUACGUGCCAGCAGCCGCGGUAAUACGUAGGGGGCAAGCGUUGUCCGGAAUCAUUGGGCGUAAAGAGCGCGUAGGCGGCCCGAUAAGUCCGCUGUAAAAGUCCAGGGCUCAACCCUGGAAAGCCGGUGGAUACUGUCGGGCUAGAGUCCGGAAGAGGCGAGUGGAAUUCCUGGUGUAGCGGUGGAAUGCGCAGAUAUCAGGAGGAACACCAAUGGCGAAGGCAGCUCGCUGGGACGGUACUGACGCUAAGGCGCGAAAGCGUGGGGAGCGAACAGGAUUAGAUACCCUGGUAGUCCACGCUGUAAACGAUGGGCACUAGGUGUGGGAGGUGUCGACUCCUCCCGUGCCGUCGCUAACGCAUUAAGUGCCCCGCCUGGGGAGUACGGCCGCAAGGCUAAAACUCAAAGGAAUUGACGG
RNAcentral lists this ribosomal RNA (922 nucleotides) under uncultured Conexibacter sp. RNAcentral's name for it is "bacterial SSU rRNA". It matches the Rfam family "Bacterial small subunit ribosomal RNA", at positions 9 to 916 of the family's 1533-position model. Lineage: Bacteria; Bacillati; Actinomycetota; Thermoleophilia; Solirubrobacterales; Conexibacteraceae. The record is from RNAcentral.